UUGCUUGCGGCAGGCCUAACACAUGCAAGUCGAGGGGCAGCAUUUCCAGCUUGCUGGAAGAUGGCGACCGGCGCACGGGUGAGUAACGCGUAUAGAAUCUGCCCUUUACUGGGGAAUAGCCCGAAGAAAUUUGGAUCAAUGCCCCAUGGUCCCUUCUUGUGGAUUCACGAUUAGGGUAAAGGUUACGGUAAAGGAUGACUAUGCGUCCCAUUAGUUAGUUGGUAGGGUAACGGCCUACCAAGACCGCGAUGGGUAGGGGCCCUGAGAGGGGGAUCCCCCACACUGGUACUGAGACACGGACCAGACUCCUACGGGAGGCAGCAGUGAGGAAUAUUGGACAAUGGGCGAGAGCCUGAUCCAGCCAUGCCGCGUGCAGGAAGACGGUCCUAUGGAUUGUAAACUGCUUUUAUACGGGAAGAACCUAGGGCACGUGUGCUCUACUGACGGUACCGUAAGAAUAAGGAUCGGCUAACUCCGUGCCAGCAGCCGCGGUAAUACGGAGGAUCCGAGCGUUAUCCGGAAUCAUUGGGUUUAAAGGGUCCGUAGGCGGGCCAUUAAGUCAGGGGUGAAAGUCUGCGGCUCAACCGUAGAAUUGCCCUUGAUACUGGUGGUCUUGAGUUAUGGUGAAGUAACUAGAAUAUGUGGUGUAGCGGUGAAAUGCAUAGAUAUCACAUAGAAUACCGAUUGCGAAGGCAGGUUACUAACCAUAUACUGACGCUGAUGGACGAAAGCGUGGGGAGCGAACGGGAUUAGAUACCCCGGUAGUCCACGCCGUAAACGAUGGAUACUAGCUGUCCGGCAGCAAUGCUGGGUGGCUAAGCGAAAGUGAUAAGUAUCCCACCUGGGGAGUACGUCCGCAAGGGAUGAACUCAAAGGAUUUGACGGGGGCCCGCACAAGCGGUGGAGCAUGUGGUUUAAUUCGAUGAUACGCGAGGAACCUUACCAGGGCUUAAAUGUAGUCUGACGUCUUUAGAGAUAGAGUUUUCUUCGGACAGAUUACAAGGUGGCUGCAUAGUGGUCGUCAGCUCCUGCCGUGAGGUGUC
RNAcentral lists this ribosomal RNA (1043 nucleotides) under Arenibacter sp. KW1. Its description in RNAcentral is "bacterial SSU rRNA". It matches the Rfam family "Bacterial small subunit ribosomal RNA", at positions 33 to 1076 of the family's 1533-position model. The record is from RNAcentral. Lineage: Bacteria; Pseudomonadati; Bacteroidota; Flavobacteriia; Flavobacteriales; Flavobacteriaceae.